CAUACCACCCUGAACGCGCCCAAUCUCGUCUGAUCUCGGAAGCUAAGCAGGGUUGGGCCUGGUUAGUACUUGGAUGGGAGAAUAUUAUUUCUUGGGUCCAGCACAAUGGUUCACUGGCU
RNAcentral lists this ribosomal RNA (119 nucleotides) under Ochotona princeps (American pika). The record is from RNAcentral. Lineage: Eukaryota; Metazoa; Chordata; Mammalia; Lagomorpha; Ochotonidae.